RNAcentral lists this ribosomal RNA (826 nucleotides) under Albifimbria terrestris. RNAcentral describes it as "eukaryotic LSU rRNA". It matches the Rfam family "Eukaryotic large subunit ribosomal RNA", at positions 74 to 935 of the family's 3401-position model. Lineage: Eukaryota; Fungi; Ascomycota; Sordariomycetes; Hypocreales; Stachybotryaceae. The record is from RNAcentral.
AUUGCCUCAGUAACGGCGAGUGAAGCGGCAACAGCUCAAAUUUGAAAUCUGGCCCUAGGCCCGAGUUGUAAUUUGCAGAGGAUGCUUUUGGCAAGGUGCCUUCCGAGUUCCCUGGAACGGGACGCCAUAGAGGGUGAGAGCCCCGUCUGGUCGGACACCGAGCCUCUGUAAAGCUCCUUCGACGAGUCGAGUAGUUUGGGAAUGCUGCUCAAAAUGGGAGGUAUAUGUCUUCUAAAGCUAAAUACCGGCCAGAGACCGAUAGCGCACAAGUAGAGUGAUCGAAAGAUGAAAAGCACUUUGAAAAGAGAGUUAAAUAGCACGUGAAAUUGUUGAAAGGGAAGCGUUUAUGACCAGACUUGGCCCGGUUGAUCAUCCACCCUUCUGGGUGGUGCACUCUGCCGGUCCAGGCCAGCAUCAGUUCGCUCCGGGGGAUAAAGGUUUCGGGAAUGUAGCUCCUCCGGGAGUGUUAUAGCCCGUUGCGUAAUACCCUGGGGUGGACUGAGGUCCGCGCUCUGCAAGGAUGCUGGCGUAAUGGUCAUCAACGACCCGUCUUGAAACACGGACCAAGGAGUCGUCUUCGUAUGCGAGUGUUCGGGUGUAAAACCCCUACGCGUAAUGAAAGUGAACGCAGGUGAGAGCUUCGGCGCAUCAUCGACCGAUCCUGAUGUUCUCGGAUGGAUUUGAGUAAGAGCAUACGGGGCCGGACCCGAAAGAAGGUGAACUAUGCCUGUAUAGGGUGAAGCCAGAGGAAACUCUGGUGGAGGCUCGCAGCGGUUCUGACGUGCAAAUCGAUCGUCAAAUAUGGGCAUGGGGGCGAAAGACUAAU